AGCCUGAUUUGCCGUGACCCCGCUGAGUGAUGAAGGCCUUAGGGUCGUAAAGCUCUUUCGCCUGUGAAGAUAAUGACUGUAGCAGGUAAAGAAACCCCGGCUAACUCCGUUGCCAGCAGCCGCGGUAAUACGGAGGGGGUUAGCGUUGUUCGGAAUUACUGGGCGUAAAGCGCGCGUAGGCGGACUGGAAAGUUGGGGGUGAAAUCCCAGGGCUCAACCCUGGAACUGCCUCCAAAACUAUCAGUCUAGAGUUCGAGAGAGGUGAGUGGAAUUCCGAGUGUAGAGGUGAAAUUCGUAGAUAUUCGGAGGAACACCAGUGGCGAAGGCGGCUCACUGGCUCGAUACUGACGCUGAGGUGCGAAAGUGUGGGGAGCAAACAGGAUUAGAUACCCUGGUAGUCCACACCGUAAACGAUGAAUGCCAGUCGUCGGGUAGCAUGCUAUUCGGUGACACACCUAACGGAUUAAGCAUUCCGCCUGGGGAGUACGGUCGCAAGAUUAAAACUCAAAGGAAUUGACGGAAACU
This 525-nucleotide ribosomal RNA is filed under the name uncultured bacterium. RNAcentral describes it as "bacterial SSU rRNA". It matches the Rfam family "Bacterial small subunit ribosomal RNA", at positions 380 to 921 of the family's 1533-position model. The record is from RNAcentral.